AAUGCACUGGGGAACCUGCAUGUGGGAGGAAACCCUCAGCAUCUUGAGUGAAACAUGGCUAGGAUGGAACUGUUCAUUUCUGCUCCCACAUACUUCAUUUCUCUUUCCCAUUUCUAAAGAUCUGAGCAGAGUACAGGUGGAAUGGGGGCUUGCUUUCUGCUGAGCUUCUGAACUUCCAAGUUUUGUAAACAUGCAAGGCUGCCAGUGUUUGUCUUUGCAUCACUCUGAGAGAGAGAGAGAAACAUGCUAGGGAGCUGGAAAGAAAAAGCUGUGCACUUUGACCAUGUUUAUGCUGAAAAGGGGCCGCAUGCCUGUUUGCAAACCUAUGAGGAUGCCUAAAGGCAAACAGGAUGGUGCCAGUUAAUAUUGGUCUGUUUUAUUUGCGUCUCCAAAAAAGGAAUAAGCAAGAGAAACUUUGUUGAUCAGUGUUACCAGUAUUAACUGUUAUUAUCUGAAUGCAACUUUUUUACAGUUCAAAGGCGUUUCUCCAAAAUAACACAGUGGGACUGUCCAGCAAACUGAACUGUUCGGCAGUGCAAAGCAGCCAAAGCACUCCGUGAUACAAAUGGCAUCAUCGUUCAGAUCAAAACAAAUCAGUGCUCACCUUCAGAAUGCAUUAAUGCCAUUCACAAACGGGAAUACAACAGCUGUCUCCAAGUCUAUUUGAAAGCUUUCAGUAAGAUGACAGAAUGGAAGACAAAUAUAUGUAUGUGCAGUAGACAUGUUUGUGCUUCUUUGCUUUCCUGAGCAACUUCUAGCAUUUAAUACAUUUAUCCCAUGGACAGUUGCGAGUCUGCUGCUUCUAUGCAGACAAACAUGCACAUUCUUAGGGAUACAAAUACACACCGCAAAAGUUGAUCUCAUCACCAGAGAAAACCAGGUGGCAAAAGCUUAAUUACCAGUGACAUUAUUCUGCCUAUACUGGUAAAUGUAGCCUCUAAUUAAGAUGUAAAUUUUAGUUCUGAGUGGUGAAUUAAAAGCAAUCUGACAUGCAUCCUAUCCAACCAUUCUUCGGAUUCACUAAACAAGCUGAGGGAAAAGAUUAAGCAUGUAUUCUAAUAGUGUCAGAAUCUAACAUACCUUCCUACAAAUAUUUCAAUUAAUAAGAACUGUUUGUAGCAGAUAUGCUUAAUUUCCAUAUAACUUAUAUAUAAUCUAUAUCCAAAGUCUGGAUAUAACCGUAUUGAAGCAUAUUCGUAUACCCAUUGAGUAUACUCUUUGAAUUCAUCUAUUCAUCCAUCUAUCUUUGCACCUAAUAAAUCACAUUCAAUUGAAAGUUUUCUGAAAGCAUACUUUUGUCCAGGCUUCCUAGUCUAAAGCCUAGAUAACAAUAUUUAUAAACAGAGAAUAUAUAAUAUUAAACUAUUAGAAAAUUAUUUAAAAAUUACCUCAUAUUGUCUUACGAUCAUUGUAGUUAGCUGUGGACAUUCUUUGGACGACUGUCUGCUCUUCUGCUCUGCUUUCCCAUCUAUUACGCUGCUCCACUGAAUUUCUGCUAUCCUCUUUCCUGUUCAUGUCAUCUUAUGCUCCCCCCUCCAACACGACAUUAACUAUUGCUAUCUUUCUACCAGGCACCUUGGAAGCAUCUGUCUCUGCUGAUGCUGCUUAGAAGACCACAGCCGUAGUAUUAUAAUUUAUGCAUUCAUGAAAGGCAGUUGGCCUUCCCCCCUGGGAUUCAAAAUGUCACCUCCAGUAGACCUGGGCUUGAAAUUUCAACUGUGUUUUUGAACUUCUCAUGCCAGUUUUUUAACAAAAGGAGAAACAAAUGAUGCUACCAUCACAGUAUUAUUACCAUCCUUGUUCAUCUGAAAACUGCUUGUUACGUUUCAUGUACUAUUGAACAGGAAGACUCGUGAAAAUAUAAACAAGGCAAACCCACAAUUUUCACAUUAUCAAAAAUACAAGGAGUAUUCUCUUUUGCUAACACACACACACACACAUACCCUUACUAAGUCAAAUGCUGCUGUGUAUAAACUCACCUCAUGGAGUCGGCACAAAGCGAUAGUGAAAAUCAGAGCUAGGAGGGUGAGAGACGCUGUCCUGAGUAUUUGCACCAGGCAGUGAGUGCUCUUGAACAGUGUCUACAUCUUCACAUCUCCUCUGCAUAUUUCUGCGGAUAAUUAUCCCCAUGCAGAGUACUGUAUAUCUUUAAGCAUCCUCACACUUAAGUGCUACAGACAGCUCAUUGCGUCCAAAUUGCCCGAUUCGGAAGCCACAGCUACCUCAAGGCUACUGAAGUAAAGAUUCAAUGGCACUUUGCAGAAGCAGUACAGUUAAUUGUGCCAAGUGCAGAAAAAGACCACGGAAGAAAAAUACAAAGGGGGGCUUGGGUCUACUAUGAGGUUACUAGGCACUUGCUCAGUUGUACGCCAAGUUAUUUAAAAAUCAUCAUGUCAUCUCCUGUGUUUAUUUAUUUAUUUUUCUCCUGCCUUCCUCCCCAUACAGGCACUCAAGGCGGCUAACGGCAAACGUGAUACAAUACAAAUUAAAAACAAAAAAUGGAUGUAAAUAUGAAUAUAAAACUAACAAACAAUUAAAUCUUGGUGUCAUGAAGCAUGAACACUAAAAUACGAUUGCUGUUAAAACCAUACACACACCCAAAUCCCAUUCAUACCAUCCCUAGCAGUCUGCCCCUCAAAAACAUUUAUCCCUUCAGUGCCAACAAGUCCUAUCACCUUUUCAAUUGAAUUUGAAUUAAGUGCUGCAAUUUUUUGUAAUUCACCUUGUAUUGUCUGACGUUCGUUGUAAAAGGACCAAAGUAAUAGAUUUGUUUAAAUAUAUCAUAGUACCUGGACAGAAAAAUGCCAGAGAAUACAGGAUUUAAAGAAUUGGGAAGCAAAGUGUUGACUUCCAAGGGCCUAUCUUUGCACAUACACCAAUUCCAAACUCUCUUAAUUGAAAACAAAUAUCCUAAGAAGCCAUUAAGACUCAUACAUGUUUGCUGUUUGUCUUUUCUACUUUUCCUCAGAAAGCUCGGCACAUCCCUGGCUCCAAUAAAAUUCCCCCCACACGCACAGAAAGUGACAAGCUCACUCUCUGAAUUUCUUUGCACGCUUAUGUACACUUGAGCAAAUGGUAGUAGAUUACUACUUUAGAGCCCAUCUGCUGCUUUCAUUUAUAUUUAGCAGAAAUAAUGACCACCCUGCCUAGAUUUUAGACAAGGCGCAAUGUUAGAAUAUGCUUUUAAAUACAAGCUGCAGAUAAGCAUACAUGUGCGUGCUUAUGCAUGUGUGUGAGUGCACAUGCACACACUUCAUCUCCCUUUAUUUCUAGGUAAAUAUAUGCAAAAGUUCUUUUUUCCAAGUAAAACAUCAUACCAAUAAUUUUAUCCUAUCAUUGCUAUAUGAUAGAUCCACCACAACAGGUAUUCUGCAUCCUUAAUUCUUCAGACAAUUUCUAUUUAAAUUAGUACUAGGGAUGUAUUAGAAACUGAUAAACUAUACCAUUCUGUAAAGCGACAUUUUGCUUGCUGAUUUAAAUUCUCUUUUCAAGAACAUCAGUAGACACUUGCAAGUACUAUCUUGGUUUUUUUUUUCCCUUUUCUUUUUCUAAAACUGAUGUAUAACCCAUAGCGGACUCUUUUCCUAACACAUGUUUCCUUAGAGAACCCCACGGUGUUACUGUCUUAGAAAACGAAGGCAAAGAUGACUGAGGGAAUUCAGUCACUCUGUUUAAUUAAUACAGGAUUAUUUCACUUUCAUUUUGCGGAGAUAAUAAUACGACUGGCGGAAUGUCAGUAAAAAUUAAAUCAUAAACUAGUGGAGUGCCAAGGGGAAAGCUUACUUUGGUUAUGGAGUAUCCCCUGUAGAAAUCUUGAAAAAUCUUCGACAUAUUUACACUAGUAAAAUGCCACAUGCUGUUCCAUCGGAUAGUGAAAGAUUUCGAGAAUCUGCAUGACAUGUAUCACAGAGCACAUUUUUCAGAUUAUACGUUAAUAAGAGAGUUGAAGGUGUGUUGUUUCCUGAAUGUUAAGUCACCAAAUGCUAAAUGAUAAAGUACACUCAAGGUCAGCAUUGCAUUUUGGACAAUCUCGGUCACUGAUGUUAUGAUAAUCGCAUCUAAAAUAUUCGUACAGAAAGCACAAAAAGAUUAUUAUGAUAAACAACAGUACGAAAGAAAAGCAAUUCAUAUUGCUUUCUUUCCCUCACAAUAAAUUGCUACUCUUUAUUGGGACAAUGAGGCCACGUAUUUUGUUUUAGCCACUUUUUCUUCUAGUUCCCUACAUAAUAUUUUCAAAGAGUUUGAGAGAAAUCUGUUUAACGUGAAAGCAGUUGUUUGGGUCUUUCUUUCUUUUUAAAAGCCACUUUGUGGAAAGGAUUUUUUAAAAGCCAGUAUAAUCAUCCACCCUAAAAUCAAAUUAGGAUAUCUCACCAACUAUGGGACAAGAUCAGAUGGCUCUUCUCCUCACCUCCUGUCUCUCCCCAGCUUCCUACCUAACUGGAAGCUCAGGGCACUAAAAAUAGAAAAGAAGAUGGAGUGCAAAUAUUUCCCCAGUGAAAACACCAAUAAUCUUUACUGUGAGCUGACACGAAUUGCUUGUUACACUGCCCUAGGAUAUCAUGGCCUGAAGCGACAGCACUCACAGACACACAAGCGCACGCACGCACACACACAUUCAAAGGCACUAAGCAUCUCAAAAGCUAAAGUAAUGUGCAUUUGUGUAGGUGCAUUUUCAGCAGACCUAUGAAAUCGGACGUCUGGUUGAUACACCUGCCAUACAAAACCCAUCAUUUGUAGCCUUCUAGGUUUUAGUUUCCUCUAAACACCGUGGCCCAUCUUUCUCUCCCUCUCAAUUCACUUUUCUCAGGCAUUUUUUUGUUAUUAAUGUUAUUGCUAUUAUUACUGUGCAAGCAUAAGCUGAUCCACGGGAGAGCCUGUGCAAUUUAACCCCUGAAGCGCUAAUUUUUUUUGCACAUGUGCAAAGGCACAGGUUUGUUGUUGCCUCUAGCAAUAUCCCAGCAAGACGAGUGAUGGCGGUGUCAUAUCAUCACAUAGUGACUUAAUCUAUUGCGACAUCCAGGGAAUGGGCAACUGAAAAAGAUUUACAGGACAUGUUUUUUAACUGCAUACAAACACAUUAUCCCCAUUUUCCAGUAACCCAGCCACAGUGGGAUCACACCAGAACAAUUUUCACCCGCCUUCAUCUUCCAGUUUGACAUAUUAAGCCCUGUGUCAUCUAACCUGCUUUUUUGACCAAGAAUGUAAUUCUAAUAAAAGCAUUUUUGUAACA
This is a non-coding RNA of Anolis sagrei ordinatus, 5230 nucleotides long. NCBI's taxonomy places the organism in Eukaryota, Metazoa, Chordata, Lepidosauria, Squamata, Anolidae. The record is from RefSeq and is a predicted model, not a curated record.